Molecule: ribosomal RNA, 396 nt
Filed under: uncultured bacterium
Lineage: Bacteria
Description: bacterial SSU rRNA
Rfam family: Bacterial small subunit ribosomal RNA
Source: RNAcentral
AUUGAACGCUGGCGGCAUGCUUUACACAUGCAAGUCGAACGGCAGCGCGGGCUUCGGCCUGGCGGCGAGUGGCGAACGGGUGAGUAAUAUAUCGGAACGUACCCAAGAGUGGGGGAUAACGUAGCGAAAGUUACGCUAAUACCGCAUACGAUCUAAGGAUGAAAGCAGGGGAUCGCAAGACCUUGUGCUCCUGGAGCGGCCGAUAUCUGAUUAGCUAGUUGGUGAGGUAAAGGCUCACCAAGGCAACGAUCAGUAGCUGGUCUGAGAGGACGACCAGCCACACUGGAACUGAGACACGGUCCAGACUCCUACGGGAGGCAGCAGUGGGGAAUUUUGGACAAUGGGGGCAACCCUGAUCCAGCAAUGCCGCGUGAGUGAAGAAGGCCUCGGUGUAAG